GGCAAUUGCAAAAGACCUAAGCCCUUUCUACCAGAGGUUCAAUUCCUCUUCUUAACU
This 57-nucleotide transfer RNA is filed under the name Salamandra infraimmaculata. RNAcentral describes it as "partial tRNA-Leu". Lineage: Eukaryota; Metazoa; Chordata; Amphibia; Caudata; Salamandridae. The record is from RNAcentral.